AUAAUAAUAAUAAUAAUGUAAGAUAUUUUAUAAGGGUGAGGUUGCCAUGGAAGUUCUGCAUCUAAUCUCUGAGUAGUUGCAAGGGAAGAGCUUAAUUUGCUUUACUGUCCAGUCCCAUAUUAUACCUCUUACACAUUCCUCUUUGCAAGAAACAUCCUGCAUUUUCAGAUCCCAACAGACCUCUGGAUUUUACUCAAAAAUGCUGACUCUUGAAACAGAUUAGAGGGAAAAUAUUUCCUACUAAAAGGUGUGUCUUACAUUGUUUAUUGGUUUCUUAUGCUCCCUAUUUGGUGUCAGGAUGUUGAAGUCCAACUAGCUAAUCCAUGGAGAAUCACUAGCUCCAGCCUCUUGAAUAUAAAAACACUAGAAUAGAUGUACUACAUCUUGAAAGUAGUAUAGGGAACUUAAGGAAGGGGGUCAGAAUAAGGGAGGAGAAAAACAAGAUGAAAGGCAGUUGUGUGAUCUUACUUCAAUAAAGAAUUUUAAUCCUGAUUGCUUCCCAUCCUUAUUUGAAAUGCAUCAGCUCUCUGAGGAUGCCCUGUAUUCCCACAAAAAAACGUGGUUGUAAAAAAGAAUGGCAUGGAGGGCAAGUCUCGGACAAAUGUGCAGUACCAACAAAUGAAGGAUUACACCAUAGAAGUCAGCAGAAACCCAAGUAUCCAAGGAAAAGCAUUCUAUUUACUUAGAGAACCAUCACAACAGUCAUUAGAGUGUCACCCUGACAUCAUAUGAGGGCCAUAUGGUUUUGCACUAACUCUGAAGAAAGAGAGGCACAAACUGAUUCAACACCACUUCCUGUGUCUUCGUUUUGCCUUGGAUCUCCUUACCUAGUCCCAGGCCUGAUUUGCUUGUGAGGUCUGACAGGAACAUAG
Non-coding RNA from Chrysemys picta bellii (western painted turtle), 872 nucleotides. The record is from RefSeq and is a predicted model, not a curated record. NCBI's taxonomy places the organism in Eukaryota, Metazoa, Chordata, Testudines, Emydidae.